This 1970-nucleotide ribosomal RNA is filed under the name human gut metagenome. RNAcentral describes it as "bacterial LSU rRNA". It matches the Rfam family "Bacterial large subunit ribosomal RNA", at positions 3 to 1985 of the family's 2925-position model. The record is from RNAcentral.
UCAAGCUACAUAGGGCACAUGAAGGAUGCCUUGGCAUCAGCAGGCGAAGAAGGACGCGUUAAGCUGCGAAAAGCCUCGGGGAGCUGCAUAAAAGCUUUGAUCCGGGGAUAUCCGAAUGGAGCAAUCCAGCAGAAGUAAUGUUCUGUUAUCUGCAACUGAAUCCAUAGGUUGCAGAGGCGAGACUCAGUGAAGUGAAACAUCUCAGUAACUGAAGGACAAGAAAUCAACCGAGAUUCCGCAAGUAGUGGCGAACGAACGCGGAAGAGCCUAAACCGCCGGGUUUACUCGACGGGGUUGCGGGACUUGAACAUGACAUGCAGCCGGUUAGGACAACCGUCUGGGAAGUCGGGCCAUAGAGGGUGACAGCCCCCUGUCCGAAAACCGAAAGCAGUCUACAAGUAUCCCAAGUAGGUCGGCACACGUGAAACUCCGACUGAAUCCGGGGAGACCACUCUCCAAGGCUAAAUACUAGCUGAUGACCGAUAGUGAAGAAGUACCGCGAGGGAAAGGUGAAAAAGUACCCCUAUUAGGGGAGUGAAAAGUAUCUGAAAUCAUGUGCCUGCAAAGUGUAGGAGCCCUUCGGGGUGACUGCAUGCCUUUUGCAUAAUGAGCUUGCGACUUACUUUAAGCAGCCAGGUUAAGCCAUAGGUGAAGCCGAAGCGAAAGCGAGUGUUAACAGCGCGUUAAGUUGCUUGAAGUAGACCCGAAGCUGAGUGAUCUAUCCAUGGUCAGGCUGAACCUCCGGUAACACGGAGUGGAGGGCCGAACCGGUGAGCGUUGAAAAGCUUUCGGAUGAACUGUGGAUAGGAGCGAAAGACCAAUCAAACUCAGUGAUAGCUGGUUCUCUUCGAAAUAUCUUGAGGGAUAGCCUUACGUAUGACUUGCGGGGGUAGAGCACUGAUUGUCCGCGGGACCUUACCGGGUUACCAACGACUGUCAAACUUCGAAUACCGUUAAGUUUUAGCGUAGGAGUUAGACUGUGGGGGAUAAGCUUCAUAGUCGAGAGGGAAACAACCCAGAUCGCCGUCUAAGGUCCCUAAUUUAAGCUAAGUGGUUUGAAGGAUGUGAAGUUGCGUAAACAACCAGGAUGUUGGCUUAGAGGCAGCCAUCAUUUAAAGAUCGCGUAAUAGCGCACUGGUCGAGUGAUUUUGCGCCGAAGAUGAUCGGGACUAAGCUUAAAACCGAAGACGCGGAUGUGCAGCAAUGCACGUGGUAGAAGAGCGUUGUAUGAGGAGCGAAGCGAAAAUGAAAAUGAUCGUGGACUUCAUACAAGUGACCAUGCAAGCAUGAGUAGCGAAAAACCGGAUGGAAAUUCCGGUCACCGUAAGACCAAGGAUUCCCGGGGAAGGUUCGUCCGCCCGGGGUUAGCCGGAUCCUAAGGCCAGGCCGAAAGGCGUAGUCGAUGGACAACGGGUUAAUAUUCCCGUGCCGCCUUAACGGAGUGACGGAGUGACGCAGUAUGCUAAGCGAGCUGGCUAUACGCCAGUCUAAUGUCGUAGGACGUCAGGGGUUAAAUGACCUGACAUCAAGUCUGAAAACGGAUGGGACUCGAAGCCUUCGGGUAACGGGGAUUCGCUGAUGCUUCGCUGACGAGAAAAGCUCCUAAACGUUGAAGUUUUGGCGUCCGUACCGCAAACCGACACAGGUGGUCGAGGCGAGUAGCCUCAGGUGCGCGAGUGAAACCACUUCAAGGAACUCGGCAAACCAGCCCCGUAACUUAGGGAGAAGGGGUGCCGAACGGGUGUAAAAGCCCGAACGGUUUCAACAAAGAGGCCGCGGCGACUGUUUAACAAAAACAUAGCUCUCUGCCAACUCGCAAGAGGAAGUAUAGGGAGUGACACGUGACCAAUGCCGAAAGGUCAAUCGGAUCCGUCAGCAGCAAUGCGAAGCGGUGAUGUGAAGCCCCGGUGAAUGUCGGCCGUAACUAUAACGGUCCUAAGGUAGCGAAAUUCCUUGUCGGGUAAGUUCCG